Molecule: long non-coding RNA, 595 nt
Organism: Oreochromis aureus
Lineage: Eukaryota; Metazoa; Chordata; Actinopteri; Cichliformes; Cichlidae
Source: Ensembl
GAGAGCAAAACUCAGAAGAGCAGCCAUUCUCCACCAUGAACUAUGGUAAAAACAAACACCGCUCACGCUUCACAGAUGACAGCUUACAGUUUUGUGUAAAGAUGAAGUUACUUUGUACAGCGCCGAUUUGCAGACGCUGUGCACACAGGUUCAUGAGCAGAAGUCCCAUUGUACCACGGCAGAUCCGACAAUGUUUGCAUGAACACGUUUUGAAACAUUACGUUAUGGACCACUUUUCACACAUGGUUGGUGUACCCAAACAGCCGGCUGUAGCUUUUCAACUCACAGCCCGACACACACCCAAAAACAGCCGAGAGCACAGACUACGCCCGAGAGGCGUGAUUGCAGGUGCCGCUCAGGUGGGUCCACCUCCCCUGCAGCGGCACUGCAGACCACGCCCCGCCACACACAUCAAACACGUAAAAUAAAUAUUUAUGCACUUUUGCAUUCACUUUUUGUUUUUUGUUAUUUUUACACAGUGUUCUGAAUGAUGAACAAUGGUCUACAGCCAAUCUUGUGUAUUAUUAUACAAACUUUGGUUGUAAGAUUCAGAUAACUAUUUAAAAUCCGACGAAUAGUAAUAUGUGUGCCUCUU